RNAcentral lists this unclassified non-coding RNA (249 nucleotides) under Pleosporales sp. RNAcentral describes it as "partial contains 5.8S ribosomal RNA, internal transcribed spacer 2, and large subunit ribosomal RNA". The record is from RNAcentral. Lineage: Eukaryota; Fungi; Ascomycota; Dothideomycetes; Pleosporales.
CGCACAUUGCGCCCCUUGGUAUUCCAUGGGGCAUGCCUGUUCGAGCGUCAUUUGUACCUUCAAGCUUUGCUUGGUGUUGGGCGUUUUGUCUUUUCUCUUCUGAUUAGACUCGCCUUAAAGUCAUUGGCAGCCAGUGUUUUUGGUAGUAAGCGCAGCACAUUUUGCGUCUUAGUCCUUAAAUAGCGGCAUCCAUAUAGCUACUUUUUCACUUUUGACCUCGGAUCAGGUAGGGAUACCCGCUGAACUUAA